UACGGAGGGUGCAAGCAUUGAUCGGAAUUACUGGGCGUAAAGGGCGCGUAGGCGGCUGUUUAAGUCAGAUGUGAAAUUCCGGGGCUCAACCCCGGAGCUGCAUCCGAAACUGGAUAGCUAGAGUGUAGUUAGGGAGAACGGAAUUCCACGUGUAGCGGUGAAAUGCGUAGAUAUGUGGAAGAACACCGGUGGUGAAGACGGUUCUCUGGGCUAUAACUGACGCUGAGGCGCGAAAGCAUGGGGAGCAAACAGG
RNAcentral lists this ribosomal RNA (253 nucleotides) under uncultured bacterium. Its description in RNAcentral is "partial 16S ribosomal RNA". It matches the Rfam family "Bacterial small subunit ribosomal RNA", at positions 524 to 776 of the family's 1533-position model. The record is from RNAcentral.